UACGAAGGGGGCUAGCGUUGUUCGGAAUUACUGGGCGUAAAGGGCGCGUAGGCGGUUUUGUAAGUCAGAUGUGAAAGCCCCGGGCUCAACCCGGGAAUAGCAUUUGAUACUGCGAGGCUUGAGUCCGGGAGAGGAUGGCGGAAUUCCAAGUGUAGAGGUGAAAUUCGUAGAUAUUGGGAAGAACACCGGUGGCGAAGGCGGCCAUCUGGACCGGUACUGACGCUGAGGCGAGAAAGCGUGGGGAGCAAACAGG
RNAcentral lists this ribosomal RNA (253 nucleotides) under uncultured bacterium. Its description in RNAcentral is "partial 16S ribosomal RNA". It matches the Rfam family "Bacterial small subunit ribosomal RNA", at positions 524 to 776 of the family's 1533-position model. The record is from RNAcentral.